This 433-nucleotide ribosomal RNA is filed under the name uncultured bacterium. RNAcentral's name for it is "partial 16S ribosomal RNA". It matches the Rfam family "Bacterial small subunit ribosomal RNA", at positions 29 to 507 of the family's 1533-position model. The record is from RNAcentral.
AACGAACGCUGGCGGCAUGCCUAACACAUGCAAGUCGAACGAAAACUUCGGGACUAGUGGCGCACGGGUGCGUAACGCGUGGGAACCUUCCCUUAGGGUCGGAAUAACUCUCCGACAGGGGUGCUAACACCGGAUAAUGUCUUCGGACCAAAGAUUUAUCGACUUUGGAUGGGCCGGCGUUGGAUUAGCUAGUUGGGAGGGUAAAAGCCUACGAGGGCGACGAUCCAUAACUGGUCUGAGAGGAUGAUCAGCAACACUGGGACUGAGACACGGCCCGGACUCCUACGGGAGGCGGCAAUGGGGGAUAUUGGACCACGGGCGAAAGGCUGAUCCAGCACUGCCGGGUGAGUGAUGAAGGCCGGAGGGUUGUAAAGCUCUUUUACCCGGGAUGGUAAUGACGGUACCGGGAGAAUAAGCUCCGGCUAACUCCGUG